This is a long non-coding RNA of Oncorhynchus keta (chum salmon), 506 nucleotides long. RefSeq lists it as uncharacterized. The transcript has 4 exons. NCBI's taxonomy places the organism in Eukaryota, Metazoa, Chordata, Actinopteri, Salmoniformes, Salmonidae. The record is from RefSeq and is a predicted model, not a curated record.
GUCUCCUACAGGUUGAUAUGGACUAAAGAGCUGAGUCUCCUACAGGUUUAUAUGGAAUAAAGAGCUGAGUCUCCUACAGGUGUAUAUGGACUAAAGAGCUGAGUCUCCUACAGGUUUAUAAAGGACUAAAGAGCUGGGUCUCCUACAGGUUUAUAAAGGACUAAAGAGCUGAGUCUCCUACAGGUUUAUAUGGACUAAAGAGCUGAGUCUCCUACAGGUUUAUAAAGGACUAAAGAGCUGAGUCUCCUACAGGUUUAUAUGGACUAAAGAGCUGGGUCUCCUACAGGUUUAUAUGGACUAAAGAGCUGAGUCUCCUACAGGUUUAUAUGAACUAAAGAGCUGGGUCUCCUACAGGUUUAUAUGGACUAAAGAGCUGGGUCUCCUACAGGUUUAUAAAGGACCAAAGAGCUAAGUCUCCUACAGGUUUAUAAAGGACUAAAGAGCUGAGUCUCCUACAAGCUUAUAAAGGACUAAAGAGCUGGGUCUCCUACAGGUUUAUAUGAACU